Molecule: transfer RNA, 74 nt
Filed under: Gracilibacteraceae bacterium
Lineage: Bacteria; Bacillati; Bacillota; Clostridia; Eubacteriales; Gracilibacteraceae
Description: tRNA-Cys
Rfam family: tRNA
About the family: Transfer RNA (tRNA) molecules are approximately 80 nucleotides in length. Their secondary structure includes four short double-helical elements and three loops (D, anti-codon, and T loops). Further hydrogen bonds mediate the characteristic L-shaped molecular structure. tRNAs have two regions of fundamental functional importance: the anti-codon, which is responsible for specific mRNA codon recognition, and the 3' end, to which the tRNAs corresponding amino acid is attached (by aminoacyl-tRNA synthetases). tRNAs cope with the degeneracy of the genetic code in two manners: having more than one tRNA (with a specific anti-codon) for a particular amino acid; and 'wobble' base-pairing, i.e. permitting non-standard base-pairing at the 3rd anti-codon position.
Source: RNAcentral
GGCGGCAUAGCCAAGUGGCAAGGCAGAGGUCUGCAAAACCUUUAUCCCCAGUUCGAAUCUGGGUGCCGCCUCCA